CGCCAGGGAAUUACGAGCACAAGCUUAAAACCCAAAGGAUUUGACGGUGUCCCACCCAUCUAGAGGAGCCUGUUCUAUAAUCGAUGAUCCUCGAUAUACCUCACCAUUUUUUGCUUUUUCAGCCUGUAUACCUCCGUCGCAAGCUUACCAUUUGAAUGCCCCAAAGUAAGUUCAACGGGCCCCCCCGCCAACACGUCAGGUCAAGGUGCAGCCAAUAAAAUGGAAAGCAAUGGGCUACAAUUUCUAAUAUAGAACAAACGAAAAACUACAUGAAACAUAGUCAUGAAGGCGGAAUUUAGUAGUAAAA
Molecule: ribosomal RNA, 307 nt
Filed under: Mantidactylus grandidieri (Grandidier's Madagascar frog)
Lineage: Eukaryota; Metazoa; Chordata; Amphibia; Anura; Mantellidae
Description: partial 12S ribosomal RNA
Rfam family: Bacterial small subunit ribosomal RNA
Source: RNAcentral